GGGUUGUGAGGUUAAGCGACUAAGCGUACACGGUGGAUGCCCUGGCAGUCAGAGGCGAUGAAGGACGUGCUAAUCUGCGAAAAGCGUCGGUAAGGUGAUAUGAACCGUUACAGCCGGCGAUGUCCGAAUGGGGAAACCCAGUGCAAUUCGUUGCACUAUCGUUAACUGAAUACAUAGGUUAACGAGGCGAACCGGGGGAACUGAAACAUCUAAGUACCCCGAGGAAAAGAAAUCAACCGAGAUUCCCCCAGUAGCGGCGAGCGAACGGGGAGCAGCCCAGAGUCUGAAUCAGCUUGUGUGUUAGUGGAACGGUCUGGAAAGUCCGACGGUACAGGGUGAUAGUCCCGUACACCAAAAUGCACAGGUUGUGAACUCGAAGAGUAGGGCGGGACACGUGGUAUCCUGUCUGAAUAUGGGGGGACCAUCCUCCAAGGCUAAAUACUCCUGACUGACCGAUAGUGAACCAGUACCGUGAGGGAAAGGC
Molecule: ribosomal RNA, 484 nt
Filed under: Klebsiella pneumoniae
Lineage: Bacteria; Pseudomonadati; Pseudomonadota; Gammaproteobacteria; Enterobacterales; Enterobacteriaceae
Description: partial 23S ribosomal RNA
Rfam family: Bacterial large subunit ribosomal RNA
Source: RNAcentral